AUGCAUUCUUCCUCCAUACUAUAUCGCCUACUGAAGUUGUCAUCAUCAGCAUUGGCAUUGUUCUGUUCCAUUGGUGUAUUGUUUUCCACAGUUUGCAUCACUUCAAGUUUUGUCUCAACUUGCCUCAUUGUAGGCCUAUCUUCACCCUUUAAGCUUAAGCACAUCAGUGCUACUGCUGCAACUUCUUUGGCUUCUUCAGACCCUUCCUCGAUGACUUGCUGGUCUAGCAUCUCGAAGAGUUUGUCUUGGUUUACUCUCAAGAUGAAUUCAGCAGUUAGACUGGCUCCUGGUGUUGACAGGUGGACACAUGGCUUCUUCCUUGUUAAUAUCUCCACAAGCAUGACACCAAAGCUAUACACAUCACUUUUCUCGGUGAGUCGCCGUGUGUGGUAA
RNAcentral lists this ribosomal RNA (393 nucleotides) under Triticum aestivum (bread wheat). RNAcentral describes it as "partial small subunit ribosomal RNA". The record is from RNAcentral. Lineage: Eukaryota; Viridiplantae; Streptophyta; Magnoliopsida; Poales; Poaceae.